Molecule: ribosomal RNA, 443 nt
Filed under: uncultured bacterium
Lineage: Bacteria
Description: partial 16S ribosomal RNA
Rfam family: Bacterial small subunit ribosomal RNA
Source: RNAcentral
CCUACGGGGGGCAGCAGUGGGGAAUAUUGCACAAUGGGCGAAAGCCUGAUGCAGCCACGCCGCGUGAAUGAAGAAGGCUUUCGGCUCGUAAACUUCUAUCAACAGGGACGAAAGCAAUGACGGUACCUGAAUUAUAAUCUCCCGCUAACUACGUGCGAGCAGCCGCGGUAAGACGUAGGGGGCGAGCGUUAACCGGAAUUACUGGGUGUAAAGGGUGAGUAGGCGGCAUGGUAAGCCAGAUGUGAAAGCCUUGGGCUUAAACCGAGGAUUGCAUUGGGAACUAUCAGGCUAGAGUACAGGAGAGGAGAGCGGAAUUCCUAGUGUAGCGGUGAAAUGCGUAGAUAUUAGGAAGAACACCAGUGGCGAAGGCGGCUUUCUGGACUGAAACUGACGCUGAGGCACGAAAGCGUGGGGAGCGAACAGGAUUAGAUACCCGUGUAGUC